AGUUGGAACUAUUUCAGACAUUUGAAGGAAGAUUGGAAAACAUGUUGUUUCCUCAGAUUCAUGUAUGUGAGUCUAAGAUGACUGGAACUUUUAACUGGCUGGAAUACAGAAAAAAUAGGUUCACAUCAUAAUUCAAGACCUCGAACAUUUCUCAUGGAGAGUGAAGAUGCUACAAUAAGGAAGCAUAGUGACACUUUCCCCAAAUUACAUUUGAUUCUACUUUCAAUGAUGGCAUCCACAGAGGGAGGGGCCCUUUGGUUGACCCAAUUAAGUAUAUAUUAUGACCCAUGAUAUGAAACCACAUCCCCACCUUAUUCUCCAUCUUUUUCACUUCUUCAUUUAAGCUCUCAUAAUAUUAUUGUCCCAAUUUUUUUCUAUUAUUUUUCUUAGGAUUUCCUAAACCACACUCUACAAUUCAAGAGGCUAGGUGUCUACAGUGCAGCAGCAGCCUGGCAGCAUUUUAUUAAACUGGAUUUACCCAACCUGUGGCAUUGGGGUCCAGAUUUAUUCGAGAUUUGAAUCACAGAAGAUCUGAAUCAGAACCAGAAGGGACUUUAGUGAUCAUCUAACAUCGUACUGGUUUUCAGCUAUAUUCACUGGAACCAGGUGAGGAAACCAAAGAUAAAAUUUAAGACUGGCCAUGAAAACCAAACACAGACCAGUGCUUUCUUCACUUUUGAGCUUCAUUUUUAGUAGUUUGCAUGAUCUCAUUAGCACCUAAUAAUCUCUGCGAGAUUGGGAUUACUUGUUAUUAUGGGCUAAAUUGUGUCCCCCUCAAAUUCAUAUAUUGAAGUCCCAAUCCCCAGUACCUCAGGAUGUGACUGUAUUUAGAGACAGGGCCAUUAAAGAGGUAAUUAAGGUCAAAUGAGAUCACCAGGGUGAGCUCUAAUCAAAUAUGACUGAUGUCUUUAUAAAAAGAGGAAAUUAGGACACAGACACACUAAGGGAAGACCAUGUGAGGACACAGCAAGAAGGCAGGCAUCAACAAGCCAAGGAAAAAGCCUCAGAAGAAACCAACGCUGAGGAUACCUUGAUCUUGGACUUCCAGCCUCCAAAACAAUGAGGAAAUAAGUUUCUGUUGUUUAAGCCAUCCAGUCUUUGGGUACUUUGUUAUGGCAGCCUGAGCUGACCAAGACAUUUGUAUCCUCAUUUUGCAAAAGAGGAGGCAGACUCAGAAAGGAUUGGACUAACCUAGGUCUUGUGACACUAUUUCCUGUGUUCUUGCUAUUCUGCAACACUCUUACCUGGACCCAUGUGGCUUAUGGUACCUUCCUAUGGCAGGAGGCAGUGAAGGAGCCAAGUCUUUGCAGCUAAAGCAAUGAUGAAGAAACACUAGAUCUGGAGCCAGAAGAGCUGAGUUUGAGUCCUAGCUCAGCCACUUGAGAAGUAUGCACGCUUGGGCAAGACAACCGC
This 1413-nucleotide long non-coding RNA is filed under the name Equus caballus (horse). RNAcentral's name for it is "lncRNA (ENSECAG00000046285.1)". The record is from RNAcentral. Lineage: Eukaryota; Metazoa; Chordata; Mammalia; Perissodactyla; Equidae.